RNAcentral lists this ribosomal RNA (612 nucleotides) under Escherichia coli. RNAcentral's name for it is "bacterial SSU rRNA". It matches the Rfam family "Bacterial small subunit ribosomal RNA", at positions 1 to 602 of the family's 1533-position model. The record is from RNAcentral. Lineage: Bacteria; Pseudomonadati; Pseudomonadota; Gammaproteobacteria; Enterobacterales; Enterobacteriaceae.
AAAUUGAAGAGUUUGAUCAUGGCUCAGAUUGAACGCUGGCGGCAGGCCUAACACAUGCAAGUCGAACGGUAACAGGAAGAAGCUUGCUUCUUUGCUGACGAGUGGCGGACGGGUGAGUAAUGUCUGGGAAACUGCCUGAUGGAGGGGGAUAACUACUGGAAACGGUAGCUAAUACCGCAUAACGUCGCAAGACCAAAGAGGGGGACCUUCGGGCCUCUUGCCAUCGGAUGUGCCCAGAUGGGAUUAGCUAGUAGGUGGGGUAACGGCUCACCUAGGCGACGAUCCCUAGCUGGUCUGAGAGGAUGACCAGCCACACUGGAACUGAGACACGGUCCAGACUCCUACGGGAGGCAGCAGUGGGGAAUAUUGCACAAUGGGCGCAAGCCUGAUGCAGCCAUGCCGCGUGUAUGAAGAAGGCCUUCGGGUUGUAAAGUACUUUCAGCGGGGAGGAAGGGAGUGAAGUUAAUACCUUUGCUCAUUGACGUUACCCGCAGAAGAAGCACCGGCUAACUCCGUGCCAGCAGCCGCGGUAAUACGGAGGGUGCAAGCGUUAAUCGGAAUUACUGGGCGUAAAGCGCACGCAGGCGGUUUGUUAAGUCAGAUGUGAAAUCC